Molecule: ribosomal RNA, 268 nt
Filed under: uncultured prokaryote
Description: partial 16S ribosomal RNA
Rfam family: Bacterial small subunit ribosomal RNA
Source: RNAcentral
UACGUAGGGGCGAGCGUUGUCCGGAAUGAUUGGGCGUAAAGGGCGCGUAGGCGGCUGUGUAAGUCAGUAGUGGAAGUCCAGCUUUUAAGGUUGGAAGUGCUAUUGAAACUGUGCAGCUUGAGUGCAGGAGAGGUUAUCGGAAUUCCCGGUGUAGCGGUGAAAUGCGUAGAGAUCGGGAGGAAUACCAGUGGCGAAGGCGGCCUUCUGGACUGACACUGACGCUGAGGUGCGAAAGCGUGGGUAGCAAACAGGAUUAGAUACCCGGGUA